Molecule: microRNA precursor, 119 nt
Organism: Arabidopsis lyrata subsp. lyrata
Lineage: Eukaryota; Viridiplantae; Streptophyta; Magnoliopsida; Brassicales; Brassicaceae
Rfam family: MIR837 microRNA precursor family
Source: Rfam
UAUAAAGUCUCCAUGUUUUUUCAUUGUUUCUUGUUUUUUUCAAGAUUAUGAUUUUUGUUUAAUUACAAUCAUAAUCUUGAAACGAACAAGAAACUGAUGAAAAACAUGAGGACUUUAUA